AGGUGCGAUCAUACCAGCGCUAAUGCACCGGAUCCCAUCAGAACUCCGCAGUUAAGCGUGCUUGGGCGAGAGUAGUACUGGGAUGGGUGACCUCCUGGGAAGUCCUUGUGUUGCACCUC
Molecule: ribosomal RNA, 119 nt
Filed under: Medicago citrina
Lineage: Eukaryota; Viridiplantae; Streptophyta; Magnoliopsida; Fabales; Fabaceae
Source: RNAcentral